AUCAUGGCUCAGAACGAACGCUGGCGGGCAGGGCUUAACACAUGCAAGUCGAGCGCCCCGCAAGGGGAGCGGCAGACGGGUGAGUAACGCGUGGGAAUCUACCCAUCUCUACGGAACAACUCCGGGAAACUGGAGCUAAUACCGUAUACGUCCUAAGGGAGAAAGAUUUAUCGGAGAUGGAUGAGCCCGCGUUGGAUUAGCUAGUUGGUGGGGUAAUGGCCUACCAAGGCGACGAUCCAUAGCUGGUCUGAGAGGAUGAUCAGCCACACUGGGACUGAGACACGGCCCAGACUCCUACGGGAGGCAGCAGUGGGGAAUAUUGGACAAUGGGCGCAAGCCUGAUCCAGCCAUGCCGCGUGAGUGAUGAAGGCCCUAGGGUUGUAAAGCUCUUUCAACGGUGAAGAUAAUGACGGUAACCGUAGAAGAAGCCCCGGCUAACUUCGUG
This 445-nucleotide ribosomal RNA is filed under the name uncultured bacterium. Its description in RNAcentral is "bacterial SSU rRNA". It matches the Rfam family "Bacterial small subunit ribosomal RNA", at positions 16 to 507 of the family's 1533-position model. The record is from RNAcentral.